Long non-coding RNA from Pristis pectinata (smalltooth sawfish), 344 nucleotides. RefSeq lists it as uncharacterized. NCBI's taxonomy places the organism in Eukaryota, Metazoa, Chordata, Chondrichthyes, Rhinopristiformes, Pristidae. The record is from RefSeq and is a predicted model, not a curated record. The transcript is spliced from 3 exons.
ACAGAUAACAUUGAUCUACAUCAAAUGGUUCUCUAGCACAGUGCAACCAACAAAGCCUGGAUGGACUUCACCAGGGGUAAUGGUGAAAGUUGUUGCUCAGGCAGUCCUUCAGGGCCAAGGAUGACUUACUUCAACUCUGAUUUUGUAGGCUCUGGGUUGCCUAAUGAGGUCCAUGUGGGAACCACAGACUCUUCCAGAUCUGGUGGUCACCAAGUAAAGAGAUGCCUGAUACAUUAUACAGAUGGUUCAUCCUCCAAGAGCUGUGCAAAUAUGGGCCCAUUAAUUCAGUGAUCUUUUCUGGAGAGAAAUGCAGCCAAGUUGUGUUCAGUAAUAUUCUGUCAGCG